This is a non-coding RNA of Caenorhabditis elegans, 158 nucleotides long. NCBI's taxonomy places the organism in Eukaryota, Metazoa, Nematoda, Chromadorea, Rhabditida, Rhabditidae. The record is from Ensembl.
UAACUCAAAAUCGCAAGCCAGCUGCCACAAAAAAGAGUUGCCUGCGGCUGGAAUCGAACCAGCGUCGCCACGGCCACAACGUGGAGUACUAACCACUAUACUACGCAGGCCGAAAGUGCUGGUGCCAGGAGGAGUUUAUGAAUGCUGGGGCGCCCACU